CCAUUUCAAGACUCAAUCUUGGAAGAAAUUUCUUCCAAGAACUUUUACAGCAGAAAGAAAAAAAUCAUUCCAUUCUGUAUAAAGUCUCCACCACUACUUGGAAGAAAUUUCUUCCAAGUUCAUUUACACCCGUAAGAAUUUUUUUUUGUUUAGUGUACAAAUUUGUUGUCAGUGAUACUGGUUGGAAGAAAUUUCUUCCAAGUGCAUUUAUAGCCAUGUGAAAAAUUGUCAUUUCGUUUCCUAUAAAGGCUUCGUCAUUUCUUGGAAUAUUUUUUUUAUUUCGUCAUUUUUUUUCCCACAGUAUAUUUUAUUCCUCUACAUUUAUAAAAACUAUUUUAAACCUUUUAAGAAAUCUAGAAAAAAUGAAGUACAUUUUAACAAGUAUUACAUGAAACAGGUUUUUUAGAACUCAUGUUAGACUUGAACGCUGAAGUUAAUUCAUUAAAUUUUAAAUAGCUAGCACAUACAUAUUACAUAAAACAAUAAUGCAAAACACCAAAUACAUGUUUACUAUCUAAUAUUAAUAAGGGGGAGACAAUAAGGAGGGGGAAUCUGAAGAAUUAGUUAUUUGCACUUUUUAAUGUGCAGUAAACUGAAAGGCCCUAUGUACAGUAGAAGGGGUGAACAUGCGUCCCUGAUUCCUAUACCCUACUCCCAGACUAAUAUUUGGUUAAAGGCAUUUUUCGAACAUAUCUAUUCUUAUCCUACAAGACUUUUUGCUAAUUCUGACACCAACAGUGCAUAUUAAAUUUCUAUAAAAAGGACAGGACAUAGAUUUGUG
This 781-nucleotide long non-coding RNA is filed under the name Mytilus galloprovincialis (Mediterranean mussel). Lineage: Eukaryota; Metazoa; Mollusca; Bivalvia; Mytilida; Mytilidae. The record is from RNAcentral.